Molecule: ribosomal RNA, 138 nt
Filed under: Salmonella enterica subsp. enterica serovar Braenderup
Lineage: Bacteria; Pseudomonadati; Pseudomonadota; Gammaproteobacteria; Enterobacterales; Enterobacteriaceae
Description: partial 16S ribosomal RNA
Rfam family: Bacterial small subunit ribosomal RNA
Source: RNAcentral
CCAUGGGAGUUGGUUCUACCCGAAGGCGCUGCGCUAACCGCAAGGAGGCAGGCGACCACGGUAGGGUCAGCGACUGGGGUGAAGUCGUAACAAGGUAGCCGUAGGGGAACCUGCGGCUGGAUCACCUCCUUUCUAAGG